RNAcentral lists this long non-coding RNA (536 nucleotides) under Equus caballus (horse). RNAcentral describes it as "lncRNA (ENSECAG00000059415.1)". The record is from RNAcentral. Lineage: Eukaryota; Metazoa; Chordata; Mammalia; Perissodactyla; Equidae.
GCAGAAAUAUAUUUGAAGCACGUGUUAGUGAUUUACACUAACAGUGAAUACUAACUACACUGAAACCCACAAUACUAAUCACAGACUUUUCAUAUCGGGAGGGAGGUUAAUGGUCACGGAUUCCACUCUACCAGCCAGUGUAGAAACCCCUUUUCCAGCAUCCAUGGAGUCAUGGAAGCUGAUAUGUCGGGCAUGACAACAGGCAGGCUCUACUAUAGAGUGAAGAGACAGGAAGCCAGUUAUCAGGGUAUGGGCUCCUGAAACACUGCAACAGCCAAGGACUUACCACUAAAGAUAUGAUGAGAAGAAAGUCAUCUGCAAACCAGGAAAUGGACCCUCACCAGAACUGAAUCUGCCAUCACCUUGAUCUUGGAUUGCCUAGCCUCCAGAUCUGCGAGAAAUAAAGGUUGUUUAAGCCACGCAAUCAAUGGUAAUUUGUUAGAGCAACCCAAGAUGACCAAGACAGUGAGACUGUGAGGGAUGAUAGCAUUGAGUUGGAUGUGAAAUUAAAACUUUGAAUUAUAACAUAAAACCUU